GAUGAACGCUGGCGGCGCGCCUAAUACAUGCAAGUCGAGCGAACAGAUAAGGAGCUUGCUCCUUUGACGUUAGCGGCGGACGGGUGAGUAACACGUGGAUAACCUACCUAUAAGGCUGGGAUAACUUCGGGAAACCGGAGCUAAUACCGGAUAACAUAUUGAACCGCAUGGUUCAAUAGUGAAAGGCGGCUUUGCUGUCACUUAUAGAUGGAUCCGCGCCGUAUUAGCUAGUUGGUAAGGUAACGGCUUACCAAGGCAACGAUACGUAGCCGACCUGAGAGGGUGAUCCGCCACAACGGAACUGAGACACGGUUCAGACUCCUACGGGAGGCAGCAGUAGGGAAUCUUCCGCAAUGGGCGAAAGCCUGACGGAGCAACGCCGCGUGAGUGAUGAAGGUCUUCGGAUCGUAAAACUCUGUUAUCAGGGAAGAACAAAUGUGUAAGUAACUGUGCACAUCUUGACGGUACCUGAUCAGAAAGCCACGGCUAACUACGUG
RNAcentral lists this ribosomal RNA (497 nucleotides) under uncultured bacterium. RNAcentral's name for it is "partial 16S ribosomal RNA". It matches the Rfam family "Bacterial small subunit ribosomal RNA", at positions 28 to 507 of the family's 1533-position model. The record is from RNAcentral.